AUUGAACGCUGGCGGCAGGCUUAACACAUGCAAGUCGAGCGGAGCGGCGGACGGGUGAGUAAUGCCUAGGUAUCUGACUGGUCGUCGGGGUUAACGUAAGGAUACGGGCCCUAAUCUCGUAUACUAUCAGAUGAGGCUAUGGCGGCUUAGCUAGUUGGCGGGGUAAAGGCCUACCAAGGCGACGAUCCGUCACUGGUCUGCGAGGAUGAUCAGUCACACUGGAACGUAGACACGGUCCAGACGCCUAGGGGCGGCAGCAGGGGGGAAUAUGGGACAAUGGGCGAAAGCCUGAUCCAGCCAUGCCGCGUGGGUGAAGAAGGGCUUCGGAUUUUAAAGCACUUUAAGUUGGGAGGCGUUACCAGCAGAAUAAGCACCGGCUAACUACGUGCCAGCAGCCGCGGUAAUAC
Molecule: ribosomal RNA, 407 nt
Filed under: uncultured bacterium
Lineage: Bacteria
Description: partial 16S ribosomal RNA
Rfam family: Bacterial small subunit ribosomal RNA
Source: RNAcentral